GACGUAGGGCGCGAGCGUUGUCCGGAAUUAUUGGGCGUAAAGAGCUCGUAGGCGGUUUGUUGCGUCCGUCGUGAAAGCCCACAGCUUAACUGUGGGUCUGCGGUGGAUACGGGCAGACUAGAGGCAGGUAGGGGAGAACGGAAUUCCCGGUGUAGCGGUGAAAUGCGCAGAUAUCGGGAGGAACACCGGUGGCGAAGGCGGUUCUCUGGGCCUGUACUGACGCUGAGGAGCGAAAGCGUGGGGAGCGAACAGG
This 253-nucleotide ribosomal RNA is filed under the name uncultured bacterium. RNAcentral's name for it is "partial 16S ribosomal RNA". It matches the Rfam family "Bacterial small subunit ribosomal RNA", at positions 524 to 776 of the family's 1533-position model. The record is from RNAcentral.